CACGUAGGAGGCGAGCGUUGUCCGGAAUCCUUGGGCGUAAAGAGCGCGCAGGCGGCUUGGCAAGUCGGGUGUGAAAUCCCGGGGCUCAACCCCGGGACUGCAUUCGAUACUGUCAGGCUAGAGGUAGGUAGGGGAGAUCGGAAUUCCUGGUGUAGCGGUGAAAUGUGCAGAUAUCAGGAGGAACACCGGUGGCGAAGGCGGAUCUCUGGGCCUUACCUGACGCUCAGGCGCGAAAGCUAGGGGAGCGAACAGG
RNAcentral lists this ribosomal RNA (253 nucleotides) under uncultured bacterium. RNAcentral's name for it is "partial 16S ribosomal RNA". It matches the Rfam family "Bacterial small subunit ribosomal RNA", at positions 524 to 776 of the family's 1533-position model. The record is from RNAcentral.